UGAACCAUUUAAAAUUGCAAACUUUAUUCUAAACCCUCAAUCAAGACAUUAGUGGAGUCUCUAAACUCGUGAAAAAAGAAAAAGGAUACAAAUUUUUGAAGAAAUUUGAGCAAAUGGAACUGAAAACCAACUCGAUUGCCGAUGAUCAACCAAACUCCGACCGGUGGGCUUCACUAGCAUUUACCCUAUACCACAAAAUCAAAACCCAGUCACCCUUAAUUCAAUGCAUAACAAAUUUCGUUUCCAUGGAUUUAAUGGCCAACACUCUGUUAUCAGCCGGUGCAUCACCGGCCAUGAUCCAUUCCAUUGAAGAAAUCCCUGAUUUCACUCCCCAUGUUCAUGCUCUCUGUAUCAAUAUCGGCACUCUUACUCCUAAUUGGCUACCUGCCAUGAAAGCUGCCGCUCAAUUAGCCUCUAAGCUGGGCAAACCCUGGGUUCUUGACCCGGUUGCCGCCGGAGCUUCCGGUUUUAGGUUAAAGUCUUGCCUGGAACUUGUGGGUAUGAAUCCUACUGUUAUUAGAGGAAAUGGGUCUGAGAUUAUUGCCAUAUCAAAGGCUUCUAUUGGCUCUUCAAAGGGUGUAGAUAGCUCCCAUGAGUCGAUGGAUGCCAUAGAAGCAGCAAAGUCUUUGGCUUUAUCGACGGGUGCUAUAGUUGCAGUUUCUGGUGCUGUUGAUAUCGUUACUGAUGGAACCAGAAUUGUUGGCGCUCAUAAUGGGGUAUCGAUGAUGCAGAAAAUCACUGCUACGGGGUGUGCAGUUACUGCACUCAUUGCGGCUUUUGUUGCCGUUGAUCCCUUACAUGCUUUUGAAGCAACGGCUUCAGCGCUGUCUAUUUUUGGUAUAGCUGGUGAAUUGGGAAUGGAUAUGGCUAAAGGUCCAGCUUCCUUGCGGAUGCACUUGAUUGAUUCUCUUCAUGGACUUGAUCAAGCUGCUGUGCUUUCUCGUUUGAAGAUUGCUAACCUGCAAUGAUGCGCAUUGACAUAAUAUGAAGAAGUGGGGUUCGCGGUAUGGUCAAACUUGCAUCCGUCAUGCUACAACAAUUUUGAAAUCUCAGAAUCUUAAUGGUUUAGAUAGACACUCAUCCUCAACAAUGUCACAGCACCAUUUAUAAAACGUUGACCGGGAGGUAUUAGUGAUCGCAUUUCAGCAAAGCCGUUAGCAUUCUUGUAUUUACCGGUCCCGCCAGUCACGGACAGGCGCGAAUAGGUGCCUGCAGUCCUGUACACGCCGUAGAAGUUGAGGCUAUCACCAUAUUCACCUCCUUCGAACAUAGCAGUAAAUGCCAUCAUCUGAGUAGUCCCGUCUGCUGAACUCGCAACAUAGACACCUUGAGCUUUGC
Molecule: RNA transcript, 1338 nt
Organism: Mercurialis annua (annual mercury)
Lineage: Eukaryota; Viridiplantae; Streptophyta; Magnoliopsida; Malpighiales; Euphorbiaceae
Gene name: hydroxyethylthiazole kinase
Exons: 4
Source: RefSeq, a predicted model, not a curated record